GAGUUAGUAGUUAGUCAGUUAACAAGCCAGUAGCCAAGUUGUUAUACAGCUUGAAGUUUGUUGAAGAGCAGUUGAUAGUUAAGAGCUCUCUAUAAAUACAACUACUAAAUGUACAAAGAAAGGAAGUAAUCAAGAAUUAGAAAAGAAGUUAAUCAUUAUUAUUCCUUUAUUCUAUCAAAUACCAUUUGAACCUAGUCUUUAACAUGGUAUCAUUCGCUGGCUAAUCUUGGGAUCCAUGGCCACCACAAACUCCGCUGAUUCUGCGUCCCUUGAACCUGGCUCGGUUGCCU
RNAcentral lists this long non-coding RNA (290 nucleotides) under Gossypium barbadense (sea-island cotton). RNAcentral describes it as "long non-coding RNA (GBAR_LNC001265)". The record is from RNAcentral. Lineage: Eukaryota; Viridiplantae; Streptophyta; Magnoliopsida; Malvales; Malvaceae.